This 253-nucleotide ribosomal RNA is filed under the name uncultured bacterium. RNAcentral's name for it is "partial 16S ribosomal RNA". It matches the Rfam family "Bacterial small subunit ribosomal RNA", at positions 524 to 776 of the family's 1533-position model. The record is from RNAcentral.
UACGUAGGGUGCAAGCGUUACUCGGAAUUACUGGGCGUAAAGCGUGCGUAGGCGGUUUUUUAAGUCUGACGUGAAAUCCCCGGGCUCAACCUGGGAAUUGCGUUGGAGACUGCAAGGCUGGAGUCUGGCAGAGGGGGGUAGAAUUCCACGUGUAGCAGUGAAAUGCGUAGAGAUGUGGAGGAACACCGAUGGCGAAGGCAGCCCCCUGGGUCAAGACUGACGCUCAUGCACGAAAGCGUGGGGAGCAAACAGG